GAUGAAGAACGUAGCGAAAUGCGAUACGUAAUGUGAAUUGCAAAUUCAGUGAAUCAUCGAGUCUUUGAACGCACAUUGCGCCCCCUGGUAUUCCGGGGGGCAUGCCUGUCCGAGCGUCAUUGCUGCCCUCAAGCACGGCUUGUGUGUUGGGCCCCGUCCUCCGAUCCCGGGGGACGGGCCCGAAAGGCAGCGGCGGUACCGCGUCCGGUCCUCGAGCGUACGGGGCUUUGUCACCCGCUCUGUAGGCCCGGCCGGCGCUUGCCGAUCAACCCAAAUUUUUUAUCCAGGUUGACCUCGGAUCAGGUAGGGAUACCCGCUGAACUUAAGCAUAUCAAUAAGCGGAGGA
Molecule: unclassified non-coding RNA, 346 nt
Filed under: soil metagenome
Description: partial contains 5.8S ribosomal RNA, internal transcribed spacer 2, and large subunit ribosomal RNA
Rfam family: 5.8S ribosomal RNA (bases 1-119)
Source: RNAcentral